GACGAACGCUGGCGGCGUGCUUAACACAUGCAAGUCGAACGGAAAGGCCCUGCUUUUGUGGGGUGCUCGAGUGGCGAACGGGUGAGUAACACGUGAGUAACCUGCCCUUGACUUUGGGAUAACUUCAGGAAACUGGGGCUAAUACCGGAUAGGAGCUCCUGCUGCAUGGUGGGGGUUGGAAAGUUUCGGCGGUUGGGGAUGGACUCGCGGCUUAUCAGCUUGUUGGUGGGGUAGUGGCUUACCAAGGCUUUGACGGGUAGCCGGCCUGAGAGGGUGAACGGCGACAUUGGGACUGAGGUACGGACCAGAAUCGUACGGGAGGCAGCGGGGGGGAAUAUUGCGCAAUGGGCGGGAGCGUGAUGCAGCAACGCCGCGUGCGGGAUGACGGCCUUCGGGUUGUAAACCGCUUUCGCCUGUGACGAAGAGUGAGUGACGGUAAUGGGUAAAAAAGCACCGGCUAACUACGUG
This 468-nucleotide ribosomal RNA is filed under the name uncultured bacterium. RNAcentral describes it as "partial 16S ribosomal RNA". It matches the Rfam family "Bacterial small subunit ribosomal RNA", at positions 28 to 507 of the family's 1533-position model. The record is from RNAcentral.